Sarcophilus harrisii (Tasmanian devil) is the source of this 138-nucleotide non-coding RNA. NCBI's taxonomy places the organism in Eukaryota, Metazoa, Chordata, Mammalia, Dasyuromorphia, Dasyuridae. The record is from Rfam.
CAGCAUUCUUAAACCCUCUUGGUAGCCUUGCUGUAAACGCUUCCAAGAUAUGAGUGAAUGCGACAGAAAAUGGCAGAUUAAUCCAAAGUGCUAAGUAUUUUCUUUUGACUUGGCAUUAUUUCAGAUCUGUGACAAUUU